This 158-nucleotide unclassified non-coding RNA is filed under the name uncultured Helotiales. RNAcentral describes it as "sequence contains ITS1". Lineage: Eukaryota; Fungi; Ascomycota; Leotiomycetes; Helotiales. The record is from RNAcentral.
CAGAGUUCAUGCCCUUACGGGUAGAUCUCCCACCCUUGAAUACUAUACCUUUGUUGCUUUGGCGGGCCGCUUCGGCUACCGGCUUCGGCUGGUAAGUGCCCGCCAGAGGACCCUAAACUCUGAAUGUUAAUGUCGUCUGAGUACUAUAUAAUAAGUUA